AGGAUACUCACCCCUGUGUUUUUUUUAUAUCAAAAAGAGGGUAUUUGCUUCAAAGGCAUUUACAUUUUUUUCUUUUCUUUUCCUUCAGGUUGAGAAUCCGUCUCUGAGAACCUGAAGCUUUUCCUGCUGAUUCUCACUAUUUUCCCAGCAAACUUCCACCCAAGAAAGUUCCAGAAAGAACACCCGUGGGAGGCCUCCCUGCUACAGCGAAGCAGACCUCACCCACCACUACCAGUUAAUACAUCCCUGCCACGCAUGAGGGAGUCCCGGUUGCUGCUGGUGGAGCAGGGGAUGCCACCUGAAGGGUGCGGCCGGUGCGUCUGC
RNAcentral lists this long non-coding RNA (324 nucleotides) under Zalophus californianus (California sea lion). RNAcentral describes it as "lncRNA (ENSZCAG00015022625.1)". The record is from RNAcentral. Lineage: Eukaryota; Metazoa; Chordata; Mammalia; Carnivora; Otariidae.